RNAcentral lists this ribosomal RNA (495 nucleotides) under uncultured bacterium. RNAcentral's name for it is "bacterial SSU rRNA". It matches the Rfam family "Bacterial small subunit ribosomal RNA", at positions 355 to 850 of the family's 1533-position model. The record is from RNAcentral.
CGAGGAAUAUUGGACAAUGGGCGCAAGCCUGAUCCAGCCAUGCCGCGUGCAGGAUGAAGGUCCUAUGGAUUGUAAACUGCUUUUAUACGGGAAGAAACCACUCUACGUGUAGAGUACUGACGGUACUGUAAGAAUAAGGAUCGGCUAACUCCGUGCCAGCAGCCGCGGUAAUACGGAGGAUCCAAGCGUUAUCCGGAAUCAUUGGGUUUAAAGGGUCCGUAGGCGGCCCUGUAAGUCAGUGGUGAAAUCUCACGGCUCAACCGUGAAAUUGCCAUUGAUACUGCAGGGCUUGAAUUACCAGGAAGUAACUAGAAUAUGUAGUGUAGCGGUGAAAUGCUUAGAUAUUACAUGGAAUACCGAUUGCGAAGGCAGGUUACUACUGGUGGAUUGACGCUGAUGGACGAAAGCGUGGGUAGCGAACAGGAUUAGAUACCCUGGUAGUCCACGCCGUAAACGAUGGAUACUAGCUGUUGGACAGCAAUGUUCAGUGGCUAA